CUGGCGGCGUGCCUAACACAUGCAAGUCGAACGGAGUAUAUUUUCUAGCUUGCUAGCAGAUAUACUUAGUGGCGCACGGGUGAGUAACACGUGGGCAAUCUACCCGGAAGACUGGGAUAACAGUGCGAAAGUGCUGCUAAUACCGGAUAUUUUCACGAAGUCGCAUGACUUUGUGCAGAAAGUUUUUCGCUUCCGGAUGAGCCCGCGUCCCAUUAGCUAGUUGGUGAGGUAACGGCUCACAAAGGCGACGAUGGGUAGCUGGUCUGAGAGGACGAUCAGCCACACUGGAACUGAGACACGGUCCAGACUCCUACGGGAGGCAGCAGUGGGGAAUCUUGCGCAAUGGGCGAAAGCCUGACGCAGCAACGCCGCGUGAACGAUGAAGGCCUUCGGGUCGUAAAGUUCUGUCAAGGGGGACGAUAAUGACGGUACCCCUGGAGGAAGCCCCGGCUAACUACGUGCCAGCAGCCGCGGUAAUACGUAGGGGGCGAGCGUUGUCCGGAAUCACUGGGCGUAAAGGGCGCGUAGGCGGCUUUAGAAGUCGCAGGUGAAAUCCCGCGGCUCAACCGUGGAACUGCCUGCGAAACCAUUUAGCUUGAGGACAGGAGAGGGAAGCGGAAUUCCUGGUGUAGCGGUGAAAUGCGUAGAUAUCAGGAGGAACACCAGUGGCGAAGGCGGCUUUCUGGCCUGGUCCUGACGCUGAGGCGCGAAAGCUAGGGGAGCAAACAGGAUUAGAUACCCUGGUAGUCCUAGCUGUAAACGAUGGGCACUAGGUGUUGGGGGGUUCAUACCCUUCAGUGCCGUAGGUAACCCAAUAAGUGCCCCGCCUGGGGAGUACGGUCGCAAGACUGAAACUCAAAGGAAUUGACGGGGGCCCGCACAAGCGGUGGAGCAUGUGGUUUAAUUCGAUGCAACGCGAAGAACCUUACCAGGGUUUGACAUGCCGGUGGUACGGAGUGGAAACACGAAGGACCUUUCGGGGAGCCGGCACAGGUGGUGCAUGGUUGUCGUCAGCUCGUGCCGUGAGGUGUUGGGUUAAGUCCCGCAACGAGCGCAACCCUUGCUUCUAGUUGCCAGUGGGUAGUGCCGGGCACUCUAGAGGGACUGCCGUCGACAAGGCGGAGGAAGGUGGGGAUGACGUCAAAUCAUCAUGCCCUUUAUAUCCUGGGCUACACACGUGCUACAAUGGCCGGUACAACGGGAGGCUAAGGCGUGAGCCGGAGCAAAUCCCAAAAAGCCGGUCCAAGUUCGGAUUGCAGGCUGCAACUCGCCUGCAUGAAGUCGGAAUCGCUAGUAAUCGCAGGUCAGCAUACUGCGGUGAAUGCGUUCCCGGGCCUUGUACACACCGCCCGUCACACCACGAAAGUCGGCAACACCCGAAGUCGGUGACCCAACCUGUGAGGGAGGGAGCCGCCUAAGGUGGGGUCGGUGAUUGGGGUGAAGUCGUAACAAGGUAGCCGUA
Molecule: ribosomal RNA, 1462 nt
Filed under: uncultured bacterium
Lineage: Bacteria
Description: bacterial SSU rRNA
Rfam family: Bacterial small subunit ribosomal RNA
Source: RNAcentral